CUCCCCUGACGUUAGCGGCGGACGGGUGAGUAACACGUGGGUAACCUACCUAUAAGACUGGGAUAACUCCGGGAAACCGGGGCUAAUACCGGAUAACACAUGAAACCGCAUGGUUUCAUGAUGAAAGACGGUUUUGCUGUCACUUAUAGAUGGACCCGCGGCGUAUUAGCUAGUUGGUAAGGUAACGGCUUACCAAGGCAACGAUACGUAGCCGACCUGAGAGGGUGAUCGGCCACACUGGAACUGAGACACGGUCCAGACUCCUACGGGAGGCAGCAGGU
RNAcentral lists this ribosomal RNA (281 nucleotides) under uncultured Staphylococcus sp. RNAcentral describes it as "partial 16S ribosomal RNA". It matches the Rfam family "Bacterial small subunit ribosomal RNA", at positions 81 to 354 of the family's 1533-position model. The record is from RNAcentral. Lineage: Bacteria; Bacillati; Bacillota; Bacilli; Caryophanales; Staphylococcaceae.